UACGUAAGGAGCGAGCGUUGUUCGGAAUCACUGGGCUUAAAGGGCGCGUAGGCGGGUGAUCAAGUCCGGGGUGAAAUCCUCCAGCUCAACUGGAGAACUGCCUCGGAUACUGGUUGCCUCGAGGAAGGUAGGGGUGUGUGGAACGUUCAGUGGAGCGGUGAAAUGCAUUGAUAUUGAACGGAACUCCGGUGGCGAAGGCGACACACUGGACCUUUUCUGACGCUGAGGCGCGAAAGCUAGGGGAGCAAACGGG
Molecule: ribosomal RNA, 253 nt
Filed under: uncultured bacterium
Lineage: Bacteria
Description: partial 16S ribosomal RNA
Rfam family: Bacterial small subunit ribosomal RNA
Source: RNAcentral